GUGAGGAAUAUUGCUCACUGGGCGAAAGCCUGAAGCAGCAACGCCGCGUGCGCGAUGAAGGUCUUCGGAUCGUAAAGCGCUUUUGAGAGGGACGAGAUAGGACGGUACCUCUUGAAUAAGUCACGGCUAACUACGUGCCAGCAGCCGCGGUAAAACGUAGGUGGCAAGCGUUAUCCGGAUUCACUGGGCGUAAAGCGCGUGCAGGUGGCUUCGUAAGUUGGACGUUAAAUCUUUCUGCCUAACCGGGAGGUGUCGUUCAAUACUGCGGGGCUUGAGGGUAGAAGAGGGAGGUGGAAUUGCAGGUGUAGUGGUGAAAUGCGUAGAUAUCGGCAGGAACACCUGUGGCGAAAGCGGCCCCCUGGUCUGCUCCUGACACUCAGACGCGAAAGCUAGGGGAGUGAACG
RNAcentral lists this ribosomal RNA (404 nucleotides) under uncultured bacterium. RNAcentral describes it as "bacterial SSU rRNA". It matches the Rfam family "Bacterial small subunit ribosomal RNA", at positions 354 to 774 of the family's 1533-position model. The record is from RNAcentral.